RNAcentral lists this ribosomal RNA (425 nucleotides) under Libanasidus vittatus (king cricket). RNAcentral describes it as "partial 16S ribosomal RNA". The stretch from base 1 to 212 matches the Rfam family "Archaeal large subunit ribosomal RNA", at positions 1888 to 2143 of the family's 2987-position model. The record is from RNAcentral. Lineage: Eukaryota; Metazoa; Arthropoda; Insecta; Orthoptera; Anostostomatidae.
UCGCCUGUUUAAACAAAAACAUGGUUUUAGAGUUGAAGUUGUAAAAUUUGGCCUGCCCACUGAAAAUGUUAAAGGGCCGCGGUAUUUUGACCGUGCAAAGGUAGCAUAAUCAUUAGUCUUUUAAUUGAAGGCUGGAAUGAACGGUUUUAACGAGGUACGAAGCUGUCUCUUGAUAAAACCUUUGAAUUUAACUUUUUAGUAAAAAGGCUAAAAUAUAGUUGGAGGACGAGAACGACCCUAUAGAGCUUUAUAAUUUUCUUUAAAUUUAAAUUUGUAGGUGUUAUAAGAUAAAUUUAAAGGGAAUUCAUUUGAUUGGGGUGAUUUGCAAGAUCUUAAUAAACUCUUUAUCGAUUCUAUUACAUAGAUUAAUGGUCUAAUUGAUCCAUUUUUAGUGACUUAUAAGACUAAGUUACCUUUAAGGGAUA